Non-coding RNA from Mycena epipterygia, 100 nucleotides. NCBI's taxonomy places the organism in Eukaryota, Fungi, Basidiomycota, Agaricomycetes, Agaricales, Mycenaceae. The record is from the annotation of a GenBank genome assembly.
GGCCUGGUGGUGUAAUGGCCAACAUGCCUGCUUUAAAUGUCUCUGUAUUCUUGUAAACAUUUACAGUGGGAGAUUCGUUGUUCGAAUCAAGGCCAGGCCG